UAAUAAGUGUUUUAUGGCACUUUUUAAAUCCAUAUCCACCUUGUGUGCAAUGUCAGUCGAUCUUCUUUCAUGGAGGAUCGACCAAACAUCAACCUUUAUCUUUUAACAUCUUUGUCUGAAAAAUAUUAUGAAUAAACAAUUCAAAAUA
This 148-nucleotide unclassified non-coding RNA is filed under the name soil metagenome. RNAcentral describes it as "partial internal transcribed spacer 1". The record is from RNAcentral.